UCUGUUUGGCUGCUCUGCGGGAGCACACACAGUUCUCCCAGGAAAACCGUCCUUCCCGGGAGAACUGUGUCUCUGAGCCGCUGUGAGUUUGCUUUAAAAUGCUGCUCUGCGCUCCAAACAGUCCCCUGAAACUGUGCAAGAAAGAAAGAAAUUCAAAGGUUCAUACAACCUUUCAAAAUAAACAGAAAAAAGAUUAAAUCGCUAACCCUGGUGGUGGACACCGCAGGAUGCUGUGAAACUGAAGGAGCCCCACCAAGGCUGGCUGACUUGUGAGUACUGUGGCAGUGGACAGGUACCAGCAGUCUAACUGAGCAGCAGCCAGCAGCUGUUGUGGAGGCAAAAACUCUGUCCUGGGGUAAGUUCAGUGAGGCCAUCAAGAAAGACUAUCAGUCAGCCUUCAAGUUGGCCUGCUCUGCUCUGCUCAACCUUCAAGUUGGCCUGGCUGCCUGCCUGCGGACUGGCGAUUAUUGAUGACGUCAUCAAACGAAAGCAACGUCCAAAAUAUAAGACACUUAAAAAAAUAUACAUAUAUCACACAGUUUCUUUUCAUAGCUCUCCAUUUGGAGUAAUAAAUGAAAGAGAAGGGAAGAAUUCAGAUUGGGCCUUAAUUAUAUUAUUUAAUCACGUAUAUGACUGAGUGAUAUUUAAUUUUAAUAAGUAAAUAAGCUAAUUAUUAUCGGAGCACUGUUUAUAUAGAAGUAGCAGAGUUUAAAAUAUGUCUUUUAGAGCUAAAAAGAGUCACAGUAUUUGAUGUUAGGCAAAAAUGUUGCAAACAUUCCAAAAUAAAAUGGUAAUAGGAUUUUCAAUUGCAUUUUUAAUCUUACACAGCAAACUUUGGCUGCUAAGGCUGAUGUUCUUCGCACAUAUUCAUGUGCCACCAGCUUAAAAACUGAUGGGAAUUCAUGUUGGCGACACAUAAUAUGAACAGCCAAAAUACACAUUGCUGCAUUGCAGCUCUAUAUUAAGCACAUCCAAGGCUAAAUAUUGUUAUUGGACGCAUGUGUUCAAUGUUAAAGUCCUGUUAGCUGUCACGCACCGAAAGAGCAGAGUGCAAUGAGCUAGAGCGGUUCUCGGGAACCAUUUAGUGUAUUAACCAUAACCGUAAUCCAAACCUUAAUCUUUCAUUCAGGUAUGUCCAGCCAAGAAGAAGUUCAACCCUGGUUGCUCAUAUUUUGAAAAACAAUAGGUGUCAUUGAAUAUCGAAAAAAUAAUGAACCGAGUUGUCCUUUGAUAUUAAAGCAGACUUUUCUAACUCUGUGAUUUCACUUUAGCCUCAAAGAGUGACUGAAAGUUCAAAAGACGCCAUUCACCAGUGGACCGUGGAUCAGACGACGGGA
Molecule: long non-coding RNA, 1337 nt
Organism: Oryzias melastigma (Indian medaka)
Lineage: Eukaryota; Metazoa; Chordata; Actinopteri; Beloniformes; Adrianichthyidae
Exons: 3
Source: RefSeq, a predicted model, not a curated record